UGCAGUCGAGCGGUAGAGAGGUGCUUGCACCUCUUGAGAGCGGCGGACGGGUGAGUAAUGCCUAGGAAUCUGCCUGGUAGUGGGGGAUAACGUCCGGAAACGGACGCUAAUACCGCAUACGUCCUACGGGAGAAAGCAGGGGACCUUCGGGCCUUGCGCUAUCAGAUGAGCCUAGGUCGGAUUAGCUAGUUGGUGAGGUAAAGGCUCACCAAGGCGACGAUCCGUAACUGGUCUGAGAGGAUGAUCAGUCACACUGGAACUGAGACACGGUCCAGACUCCUACGGGAGGCAGCAGUGGGGAAUAUUGGACAAUGGGCGAAAGCCUGAUCCAGCCAUGCCGCGUGUGUGAAGAAGGUCUUCGGAUUGUAAAGCACUUUAAGUUGGGAGGAAGGGUCGUUACCUAAUACGUGACGAUUUUGACGUUACCGACAGAAUAAGCACCGGCUAACUCUGUGCC
RNAcentral lists this ribosomal RNA (457 nucleotides) under Pseudomonas sp. RNAcentral describes it as "bacterial SSU rRNA". It matches the Rfam family "Bacterial small subunit ribosomal RNA", at positions 56 to 509 of the family's 1533-position model. The record is from RNAcentral. Lineage: Bacteria; Pseudomonadati; Pseudomonadota; Gammaproteobacteria; Pseudomonadales; Pseudomonadaceae.